This 948-nucleotide ribosomal RNA is filed under the name Triticum aestivum (bread wheat). RNAcentral describes it as "partial small subunit ribosomal RNA". The record is from RNAcentral. Lineage: Eukaryota; Viridiplantae; Streptophyta; Magnoliopsida; Poales; Poaceae.
AUGAGGGCCCAGCUCGCUCUAGCCCUUCUACUCUUCCUCGUUGUUGCCUCCACCAGCCCCCUAGCAUUGGCCCAUGGCGAUCUUGACUAUGGCGGUGGAGUGAAGAAAUCUGAAGCUACCGGCGGAUACACCGCCGGUAUUGAGAAGAAACCCGAAGCUGUCUCGGCCAGUGUUGAGAAGAAACCCGAAGCAAUCUCCAGUGAUGUGGAGAACAAACCAGAUGCCGUCUCCGGAACAGACGUCUCCUCUAGCGCAAAGACGAAACCCGAAGUCGUCGCUGGCUAUGACAGUGCUAAGAAGAAACCUGAUGUCAGCCCCAACAAUGUUGAUGCAGAGAAGAAACCAGUAAGUGCCUCUGGCAAGGAGAAGAAACCCGAAGUCGUCGCUGGCUAUGACAGUGCUAAGAAGAAACCUGAUGUCAGCCCCAACAAUGUUGAUGCAGAGAAGAAACCAGUAAGUGCCUCUGGCAAGGAGAAGAAACCCGAAGGUGGCACCAAGGCUGCUAAGGAGAAGAAAUCUGAAGUUGCCUCCGAGAAGAAAUCCAAAAGAAAGAGUGAGCCCUCCCAGCCUUCCACCAUCGAGAAGAAACCCAAAAGUAAAAAUGAGAAGAAGUCCAAAGGAAAGAAUGACGCCUCUGGAUACACUGGUGCGCAGAAGAAACCAAAAGAAAAAGUGGAUACACCCAAAAAGGAGAAGCCAAAGGAGGAGGUCAUGGCUAUGAAACCUAAAAAAUACACCAAGCCAAAGGAGGAGGCGAAGAAGGAGGAGACGAAGAAGGAAGAGCCGAAGAAGGAGGUGAUCGCGGCGACCGUCACAUCCGAUAUUUACACUGCACCGAAGAAUGCUCAGCCGGAGACGCCGGCAGCUAGCACAACUGACACUUAUGCUGCGCCAAAGACUGCUCAGCCGGAGAUGGCGGCGGCUAGCACAACCGGUGGUUACCCCUAA